UAGAGAGAAGCUUGCUUCUCUUGAGAGCGGCGGACGGGUGAGUAAUGCCUAGGAAUCUGCCUGGUAGUGGGGGAUAACGUCCGGAAACGGACGCUAAUACCGCAUACGUCCUACGGGAGAAAGCAGGGGACCUUCGGGCCUUGCGCUAUCAGAUGAGCCUAGGUCGGAUUAGCUAGUUGGUGGGGUAAUGGCUCACCAAGGCGACGAUCCGUAACUGGUCUGAGAGGAUGAUCAGUCACACUGGAACUGAGACACGGUCCAGACUCCUACGGGAGGCAGCAGUGGGGAAUAUUGGACAAUGGGCGAAAGCCUGAUCCAGCCAUGCCGCGUGUGUGAAGAAGGUCUUCGGAUUGUAAAGCACUUUAAGUUGGGAGGAAGGGCAGUAAAUUAAUACUUUGCUGUUUUGACGUUACCGACAG
RNAcentral lists this ribosomal RNA (419 nucleotides) under Pseudomonas sp. RNAcentral's name for it is "bacterial SSU rRNA". It matches the Rfam family "Bacterial small subunit ribosomal RNA", at positions 69 to 484 of the family's 1533-position model. The record is from RNAcentral. Lineage: Bacteria; Pseudomonadati; Pseudomonadota; Gammaproteobacteria; Pseudomonadales; Pseudomonadaceae.